GAGUUUGAUCCUGGCUCAGAUUGAACGCUGGCGGCAUGCCUAACACAUGCAAGUCGAACGGCAGCACAGUCGUAGCAAUACGAUGGGUGGCGAGUGGCGGACGGGUGAGUAAUGCAUCGGGAUCUACCCUGACGUGGGGGAUAACCUCGGGGAACCGGGACUAAUACCGCAUACGUCCUACGGGAGAAAGCGGGGGACCUUCGGGCCUCGCGCGGCAGGACGAACCGAUGUGCGAUUAGCUAGUUGGCGGGGUAAUGGCCCACCAAGGCGACGAUCGCUAGCUGGUCUGAGAGGAUGAUCAGCCACACUGGGACUGAGACACGGCCCAGACUCCUACGGGAGGCAGCAGUGGGGAAUAUUGGACAAUGGGCGCAAGCCUGAUCCAGCAAUGCCGCGUGUGUGAAGAAGGCCUUCGGGUUGUAAAGCACUUUUAUCAGGAGCGAAAUACCACGGGUUAAUACCCUAUGGGGCUGACGGUACCUGAGGAAUAAGCACCGGCUAACUUCGUGCCAGCAGCCGCGGUAAUACG
This 529-nucleotide ribosomal RNA is filed under the name uncultured eubacterium WR8123. RNAcentral describes it as "bacterial SSU rRNA". It matches the Rfam family "Bacterial small subunit ribosomal RNA", at positions 9 to 527 of the family's 1533-position model. The record is from RNAcentral.